CUUGGAACUAGCUCUUGUAGACCAGGCUGGCCUCAAACUCAGAGAUUCACUUGCCUCUGCUUCCCGAGUGCUGGGAUUAAAGGCAUGCGCCACCGCCGCCCAGCUAUCCAAGUCCUUUAAAUCAACAUUUAAAACAGAAACAACAGAGCCACGAGGCUGGCAUGUGCUUCAGCUUGGAGACUUGCCUGACAUGUGUAAGGUCCCAAGUUUCAUCCCAGCAUGUUUUUUUUUAAAGACAUAUUUGUAUAUGCAAUAUUUGCAUCAUAUUUGCAGGGUUUUUUGUUGUUGUUGAAUAUACCAGGAAAGAUUAGGAACUCAAGGCCACCUUGGUGAGUUUGAAGCUAGCCUGGACUCCAUGAGGCCAUAUAUAAAGCAACAACAGAAACCAAAACAAGGGCCAGAGAGAAAUCUCAGCAGGUAAAGGCACUUACCAUCCAGGUUGGUGACCUGAAUUGUCUUCUGACCUCCGCAUGCGUGCUGUGGUACACAAGCACUCCUACACACACAUAAAUAAAUAAGCAAGCAAAUGUAACAGAAGUUUCUUAGAACAUGUCAGCUUUUGUGGCCUAGGAAGGAUGAGACCAGCAGAACUCCACAGGCUCAAUGAAGGCACCCCAAAUUCACGUUUGUAUCUACAGAGAAAAGAGAAGGAAGGAAGGCAUUCCAUCAAAAUAACAAGAGUUCUGGAAAGUUUGUAUGAUUGUUGUGUUAGAAGCAAAACAGAUUAAAGUUCUUUUGGAAUCAAGCCUGAUGAUUAGAGCUCAAUUCCUGGGAGCCACAGGGUGGAAGAUGAGAACUCACUUUAGAAAGUUGACCCUUGACCUCCACGGGGACUCUGCAUGUAAGAACAAAAUAUAUAACUAAAUGUAAUGCAAUUUUUUUAAAAAAGUAUAGUUCUGUGGGACAAUAAAGCCUAGAGGAAAACCAUCGUUUACAUCUCUGCGAGGUUAAAAUAAUCCUGAGUUGUUAAUUUUCUCCCCGUUCACAGCUGUCUUAUAGAGCAAACAGUGCAUUAUGCAAAGUGACAUUUCCAUGAAGUGGCAGGCGACCCUUGGCACUACUUAGACACAACUCGAACUUGGCUUUGAACAGACGUGGUUAUCUGCCUGCCUUGUUCCCACACGCUGGGAACUGUAUCUUUGAAGCCAGGAUACAGCGAGGACACAGCGAGAGGAGCUGAGGUAGAUCUGGGGACGGAAAGUCUCCCCUACCCUGCUCAUCUCAGAAGCUAGCGCAACACCCCUGCUUUAUUUCAAGUCACCACUUCUAACUCUUCUUUUGAAUCAUAGUAGGCAAAGUAUAGUGUUUUUUAUAUAUAUAUAUAUUUUUAAUUUUCAUUUAGAAAUAUUGAACAGGCAUGGUGGUACAGACCUGUAAUCCCAACACCUGGGAGGCCUAACUGGGCUACAUAGUGAGGUACUAUGUUCAAAAAAGUAAUAAUUACAACAGAAGGAGGUGUAAGGUAUAAUUUAUAGAGUGAGAUGAUGCCCAUUGUUUGAUUUCCGUAUAUUGGAUACCUAUCUGCCCAUUGCCACCUGGCCAGACUUGGAACAUUCCCACUGUACCCACAAGUGUCCUGGAGCUCCUUUCAGGCCACAAGCCUUCCCUUUUCGGAAGCAGAGUGGCCGACCCACUUCCUAUCACCAGUAUUCCAACCUCAGGUACAGAAUCCACCAUCUACCUCAUUGUCCCUCCUGGCAUCUGAGUGGGCACGAAUGUCAGUUCUGUCUACAGUUGUCUGGCAUCCCUCACUCUCGCCCACCACGCCGGCUCCCCUGUUCUGUCAGUGGGUGGUUUGGAACGAGGAUGGAUGACAUUGCGAGGUUCUCACCCCGCCCUGUGAACCCCUCUUGUGCUGUUUCCACCACCCAGGGGCAGAUUGGCCUUGGAGUCUCUCCCCUAGCUCUCCCUGCAGCAUCCGUGUCCGAAGCCCUGCACCUUGGUGGAGACACCUUGCCUUUGCUCACCCUUCCCUCCUCACCCAGACAGUAUCCCAGCCCUUCUUCCUUGCUCCUUUGGGUCAAUGCCUCCCCUCCUCCUUGGGUCUCCCCUUCCAGUCUUACCCUCAGCACCCAACAGAUGCUUGUGAAGGCUGGAGUUGGGACGGACUGGCAGUGGCUACUGAGUUCGUCUCUGCACACUCUUUGCUUCUCUUUGAACAGGCGGUGUGGAAGGCAGCUGGCCUGAGAUCCAGGAUCAGUGUCACGUUGGUUCUACCAGGGACUUCACCCAUAAAACUGAGGGGGUGCUGGACCUCAUCUGGACUGUGAGUGGCCACAUUCUCAUGGAACCUGCAGGGGGCACCAUCCCUCCCUGGUCCCUGUUGAGCUGUCCAGGGUCCUGAUGUGAUUUAGCCUAUUCCCCUGCCGCCUAGGCAUCUGUAACCUAGACAUUCUUAAAUAAAAGGUGACUUCUACCUCUA
This is a non-coding RNA of Myodes glareolus (Bank vole), 2422 nucleotides long. The record is from RefSeq and is a predicted model, not a curated record. NCBI's taxonomy places the organism in Eukaryota, Metazoa, Chordata, Mammalia, Rodentia, Cricetidae.